Molecule: ribosomal RNA, 253 nt
Filed under: uncultured bacterium
Lineage: Bacteria
Description: partial 16S ribosomal RNA
Rfam family: Bacterial small subunit ribosomal RNA
Source: RNAcentral
UACGUAGGGUGCGAGCGUUGUCCGGAAUUAUUGGGCGUAAAGAGCUCGUAGGCGGUCUGUCGCGUCUGCUGUGAAAUCCCGAGGCUCAACCUCGGGCUUGCAGUGGGUACGGGCAGGCUAGAGUGCGGUAGGGGAGAAUGGAACUCCUGGUGUAGCGGUGGAAUGCGCAGAUAUCGGGAGGAACACCAAUGGCGAAGGCAGCUCGCUGGGACGGUACUGACGCUGAGGCGCGAAAGCGUGGGGAGCAAACAGG